Molecule: ribosomal RNA, 449 nt
Filed under: uncultured bacterium
Lineage: Bacteria
Description: partial 16S ribosomal RNA
Rfam family: Bacterial small subunit ribosomal RNA
Source: RNAcentral
AACGAACGCUGGCGGCAUGCCUAACACAUGCAAGUCGAACGAGAGCUUCGGCUCUAGUGGCGCACGGGUGCGUAACGCGUGGGAAUCUGCCCUUGGGUUCGGAAUAACAGUUGGAAACGACUGCUAAUACCGGAUGAUGACGUAAGUCCAAAGAUUUAUCGCCCUGGGAUGAGCCCGCGUCGGAUUAGCUAGUUGGUGGGGUAAAGGCCUACCAAGGCGACGAUCCGUAGCUGGUCUGAGAGGAUGAUCAGCCACACUGGGACUGAGACACGGCCCAGACUCCUACGGGAGGCAGCGGUGGGGAAUAUUGGACAAUGGGCGCAAGCCUGAUCCAGCAAUGCCGCGUGAGUGAUGAAGGCCUUAGGGUUGUAAAGCUCUUUUACCUGGGAAGAUAAUGACUGUACCGGGAGAAUAAGCCCCGGCUAACUCCGUGCCAGCAGCCGCCGCGG